This is a long non-coding RNA of Canis lupus familiaris (dog), 6826 nucleotides long. RefSeq lists it as uncharacterized. The transcript has 2 exons. The record is from RefSeq and is a predicted model, not a curated record. NCBI's taxonomy places the organism in Eukaryota, Metazoa, Chordata, Mammalia, Carnivora, Canidae.
AUGCUUCUCACAUGCAGUUAACUAUAACAUCAAUCUAAAUGUUCAAACACUUCAGAGGCAGUUCCUGUAUUAUAAAGGAUGUUAUUAGCCUUCAUGGUAUUGAACAAAAACACUACCCGGGAGGAAACAAAUGUUGAACAGUCUCUUCUCAGUGGUCGGAUUUCUGUUUCCUCUUUGCUUUAUCCUCUUUCCCAAGAUCCACUUCCUUUCCUUAGCCAACAGGAAAAAUGACAUUAAGGAAGAAGACCAAAUAAAGGAAGAGGAAAAGAAAAGAAAAGAGUCUCAAAAGAAGAAAAACUGCCCCAAGAAAGAGCACAAAAUUGAAGUUGUUUAGGUUCAGAGCAGCCGCCUAUGACGUCACAGCCACAGAUUCUUCCCACUAAGGAGAUGGAGGAAGUGAUCCACAGGAGCUACCUACCCACAGUAAAUAAGAGGAAGAGAUGGCCAAGAAAGCUGAAAGAUGCAUUUACAGACCAGACAUGAUGGUAACAACCAUUAAUGAAGGAAAGACUGGGGAGAGGACUUCGUAACAUUUUCGUAACGCAGCUCUAUUUAAAAAUAUUUAUUAUGCCUAUUAAGAGUGACGUGCCAUGCUAGGUACAACGGUUUGUACAAAGGAAUAUAGGCAAAGUGGUGACAAUAAUAAGAUAGGACAAAGAGCAAGAAGAGCCCGAAUUACAUUUAUUAUAAUUUGCCGAGAGAAAAAAUGCAUUUUAAUCACUUGUUUAAAUGAGACUUAUAUAGUAAUGUAGGAGACCUAAUUGUCCUAAUACAUGAUUGUUCAAACUACAAUUAAAUGUAUUGCUGUUCCUUUUCUGAAAUAAACAUGAAAUAGAAAGAAUAUUACAUAUUUUUACAGACGUAAGGUAGAAACUUUGAGUUGUUCACACUAAAUGAAAAUAUCAUUGCUUCAAUGGGCUUUAAAACACGAAUUUUUAUGUUCUGCAGUGCAGUAUGGCUUACAAUGACAUGAGUCUUUAUAAACUUCUGACACUAGAACUAUGUAAAUUCAUAAUGUGUAAGCAUCUAGGAAAAAGUGUUAUUCUAUGUCCAUUUUUUCCCUAAAAGUGAAAUGUCCUGUCAUUUUCUUAUAAAUAGAUAUUAAAUCAUCAUCAUCAAUACUGAUAGCAUUGUAGUGACAGAAAGGAAUCCACAAUACUGCCAAAGAUACCGAACAUGCAUUUAGUAAGAAUCCUAGCUUAGGUCUAUAUUGCUUUUGGCUAUUGAGUUCCAGUUUGUAAAAGAUUCAGUUCAUCUAUACUUGUCCCUGUCUUGUACAUUUUGCUGUCAAGCAAGAGUUAAUAAAAGCAGUUCUCUGUCAUAGGUAGAUAUGCAUACUAUUGUCAGCAGAUCUUUUAGCAAAGUUAACCACAAAGUCACCCAGGUCAUAGGUCAAAAUACCAAAAUUUAAAUGGGCACAUUUAGUUAGAAAGGGACCGACCAUGCACUUUAAGGACAAAGAGAUCUGGGUUUGAAUCUACUCCAAUCUUUCUUUGUGCCCUUUGGCAAAUUACUUAAUUUCUCCAAGCCCUGAUGUUCUCCAAGAAAAAUGAAGAUUAAAAAAGACCUUUUUUGCUGGAUUGAUGAGUGGAUAAAACACGGUAUAUGUAAAAUGUAUAACUCAGUGCCUAAGACAGUUGUUCAAAAAGGCUAGUUGUUAUUAUUAGAAAGUAUUGAUAUUCCUUCAGACCUUUAGGUUUCCUUGAUACGGUUUUUCAGGAUAGCAGAAAAGUCUACAAUAUGGUUCAAAAUACUUGGAUGGUGCCCACCCACUUCAGUCCUCUAACUCAUCUUACAUUAUAUUGCAUUAAGUGGGAAUGGGAAGCACAUAGCAAAUUAAUUAAGAGUAUUUCAGGCCAGAUGGUAAAAAAGAGACAUGAAAUUAAAUCUCCCUAACAUGUUUAAUAGAAUAACUGCCAAAUCCCUGGGCUAUUAUUUUGUUGCCUAGAGCAUAACCAAUCUACCAAAUCUAUCAAGUUGCUUCUGAAGCAACUGUUCUAGUUAUUCCCGUCAUUGUAUAACAGACAUCACACUGAAAAUAGGAAUGUUGCCAUUUCAUGAUUGCAUAUAAGUUGUAAAUAAACUAUCUCAGAUACAUAACAUAUUCCUAAACUUUAUCCCCAUCAAGCACACAAUUGUUUUUCAAGUUUAUUUAAGUUCUCUACACCCAACAUGGGGCUCGAACUCUUGACUCCAAGAUUAAGAGUCACAAUCUUUUCCAACUGAGCCAGCCAGAGGCCUUAAAAUUAAUUUUUUAAAAUAAUUUAACAAACCUUCCAUCUCUUAGUUCAUUUAAGUGUUCUAUCAUUUCUGGCUUGCAGCCUGAAUAGUAAAUUGAAUGAGAAACUUCUGAAUCUUCCAGAGACUGGAAAGUAUUGGGUAUUCUCUCAAAAAAUCCUGUUCUCAAAGCUUCCUAUGCUGGAUUCUUAUAAAAAAGUUUGGAUAAGUACCCUCCUGUUUUGAUGUGUGCAAUUAACAGAAGUUUAAAUAUAUCCAUGCCCUCUGAAAGUUACUAUAAAUAUAUAGAUUUGCAUCCCUUACAUUUAAUUCCCUAAUGAGAAUAUCAGAAAUAGACUUUGUUUAAACUCUGAUCAUGCUUGACAAAAACGUCCUCUUGCUUUAGUAGCAACUUCCGAGCAGCCACAUACUAAAGAAAGAAACUCUGCUUCUCUUCAUAGCAUUUCUUUGUGCAUCUCUAAAAGAAUUACCUGUUUUUAUUCUAACAGGUUUUCCAUUUUGCAAAGUGUUUAAAAGGCAGUAAAGGAGAGCUAAGAAUUGGGGAAAUAUGGUGGGUAAGAAUUGCAUGUAUUUCAAACUCCUACUCUUGAAAACGUCAGACCCGUGUUGGAGUUAAUGGGUCGCUUUCAUGUCCACUCAGAGAAUAAGAGUUAAACAAAGAAAAAUGUUUGCUCAGAUAAGAGAAAAAUUCCAUCAAGAAAAAAGAAAGAUAGGAGAAAGAGGGAGAGAGAGAGACUCAAAGAAGAUAUAGUGUUUCCAACAAGUAAACAUUUUAUUUUGCUUUACAAUAGGCAGGAAAACAAGCUACUGUUUGUUAUUUUCCCAACUAUCAGUAUUUUAACUGAUUAAAGACUAAAGUAUUUUAUUUCUCUUUGGUCUGAUUUGGGAAGAAAGGCCAAGGACAGGAAAUCUGAGUCACUCUAUUCCUAGGAAAACCUUUGUAUUGCAAGCACUCAUAACAGUGAUAAAAUACACAGAUGGGUUCAAAAUGUUACCUCUGCAUUUGUCCACCCAAAUAAAAUAAUCAUUGUGUAAUCAGUUGGAAAUCGAAGUAAAUUUUUCUAGGAGUAAAACUAACGUUCCGUUAUUUGUGCUACCUGGAAAUAGGAAAAGAAUAACAAAAGUUUACAAAUAAUUCAAAAGCCAACUUUACUCAAUGGUUUUCAGCUUCGCUCAAACUUAAUCUAUUAUUUGAAGAGCUAAUCGGAAACUAGACCAACUAGCUUAAGUUUUAACUUGUUCCUCUUUCAACCUUAAGUCCUUCUGGAAAAAAAAAAGACACAAAAGUACAAGGAAAAGUCUAGAAGGCUUGCAGAAAAUAAUAAAAUAGAAAAAUGUGAACAGAUGAGUGAGCUGUGUUUUUUCCCAACGUCAGAAUAGAUUAAUCCUGUCCUAGAUAAUCCAGAAGUGACUCUUCAGUGUCUAACUAUGUGCUCAGACCAGACCCCCCCAUGCUAUGUACUGUAUUUGGGUCAUUAAUCUUCUGGGAACUGGUUUUCUCCCAGAAAUCACACAUCACCUUCCCUGAGUCAGAAAUAUCUCCAGUGCUUCAUCCCUUAGUUUUCCACCCACUGGACAAAGCUUAUAAAACUACUAGUGGGGCUAUGUUUAUUUAAAAUACUGGUGGCAUCAAUUAAUCAAUUAAGAACAUAAAACCAUGGGUGAACUAGGGAAUUAGAAAGAGAACACAAGAGGCAAAAACACGUGCUUUCAACCAGUCUUCAGGACCUGGCACAAGGUGAAAUUAGAGGAGCCACAGACUAAAGAUGCUAAAUAGGGAUGAAGAGGGCUUCAUGGACCACUGCCUGCAAUUUUCAAAGGCACAGCUUUCAGGUUUCAAAGGAACCAGUUGGCAUCAAUUACAAGAUGGUUUUCUAGAUCCCACAGACUUUCCCAUCUAUGGUUUACAAAAGAAUUAGCCAUAUAGAAAAUUAGUUGCAUGACUAUUUUCUGAUUUCUCCCUAGGGUAGUAAAUAGCCAGUGCCAUCUCAUUGCAAAGAAGAGAAGCUCAUUCAUUAUGUUAAUUGGUAUCUUAGGGAAGGUGUUGACAAAUUACAGCCACGUGGGGAAAAUUCAGUUGCCCAUUUGUUUUUGUAAAUAAAGUUGGAUUGGCACACAGCCAUGCUCAUUCAUUUAUGUAUCAUCUAUGACUGCUUUUGAGCUACAAUGGCAGGGUUCAGUAGUUAUGCCAAAUACCACGUGGCCUUCAAAGCCAAAAAUAUUUACUACCUGGUCCUUCAUAGAAAAGUUCGUUACCAAAAAAAAUAAAAAAAAAAUAAAAAAAUAAAAAAAUAAAGAAAAGUUCGUUACCUCUAUGUUAGGUAAUUAGAGCUUAAUUCUCCUAUAGAACGCCCAUUGAGAAAGGCUGCUGGUGUGUGACUGAAGCAAUAAAUCCAAGAAAGAAACUGUGACUCUCUCAAAACCUACCUCAAAUGUGGGAAUGGAGAAUGAAAACUGAAACUCAAUGAAAACUAGACUAAUAACUGGACCUAGCGAAAAUGACCUACCACUCUGAAGGAGGUGGUAGCACUGCGCAAAAAUAAAAUGUCUGCCCAUGCCUUCCAUACCGAUCUACAUGAGUUUAUGUUAGUAACUAUAUCCAUUAAUUCUACUCCUGUCAUUUUUUCUUUGACUUGUCAGCUUCCUCGGAUUUUUUUAUCUGACGUGUCAUGUCAUGUUUGUCUUUACUCAUUUCAGCUUCUUCGGAAGUUAAAUUAAGAAAAAAAUGUUGUUUCUCUAUAUGUCCCUUGGAAUUAAUUCAAGUUUUGGGAAUAAGGUAAUCUUAGGAAAGAAGUCAUGUGACAUGAAUAUGGACUGUUUAACACAUGGCAUUGAAGAUGUGAAAAAAAAAGGCACUCAUAUAUGACUGAUGAGAUUAUAUAUUAAUCUAAUCUCUGUGGGAGAUGAUUUAGCAGUAGCAAAUAAAGUCACAAAAGCAAAUUACUUUGACCUAGUAUUUCUACUUUUAGGAAAUUAUCCCUCAGAUAUACAUCACUGAAAUAUUUAGAAAAUGAGCCAUGUAAAAGAUUAUUCUUUGCAGUAUUGUCUUUUUACCAAAAGAUUGAAAAUAACCUAAAUAUCCCUCAGUUGGGGACUAGUUAAAUAUAUAAGGUACAUGCACCAAUGGAAUAUUGUGUAACCAUUAAAAAAAGAAUGAGAUAUAUAUUUAUGCACUAACUCGGCAACUCAUUUGUUUAUUUUUUUAACAAAACCCUAUUAAGCACCUACUAUAUUCUAAACAAAGAGGACACAAAAUGGGCAAAACAAAGUUCCUUCUCAUAUGGGAUGCCAACAAUAAACAAAUAAAAAUGUAUAUAUUGUGUCAAACAGGGUAAAAUAAAACAAUGUAAGGGGGAUAGGUAGUGACCCAGUUUGUUGCUCUUUUAAUUAGGAUUGUCAGGGAAGUUCUCAAAGUUUAGGUGGCAUUUAAACAGAGACCUGAAAGAAGUGAGGAAAUUAGCCACAUGUAUAUCUGGAGAAAGAACUAUCCAGAGAUAGAGCUCCUAUAUAAAGUCCCUGAGAUGCCACAUUUAAGGCACAAACCGGAGGCUGUUGAUGAGGGGACACAUAUAUAGAGACACCUAGAUAGAGGUGUCAGAUGAGACCUGACAGGUAGUGCAAGGAAUCAGAAUCCUUUUGGUGUACACCAAAAGUAAAGAAUGUGACUUUUCCUCUCUGUGUCAUGGGAAGCCAUCAAAGGGUCCAGAAUAGAUGAAUGACAUGAUCUGACUUUUUUUUAAGGAUCACUCUGGUUGAUUCACUCGUUAGUCAGAAAUCUAUUGCCUUAAUAGAAUCAAGGACACUAGCUCGAAGCACGGUGAUCAUAGAGGAAGUAGCAAGAUAUAUUUGCAUUCUGGAUAUAUUUUAGAUGAUAUCCAAAAACACUGCUUAAUUAAAUGUUAAGAAUAAUGUGUGUUACCAUUUGUGUUUAAAACAGAAGGAGAUGACAGCCAGCAAGAAGAACAAAAUGUUGCCAUUUGCAAUGAUGUGGAUGGAACUAGAAAGUAUAAUGCUAAGUGAAAUAAGUCAGUCAGAGAAAGACAAAUAUCUAUGAUUUCACUCAUAUGUGGAAUUUGAGAAACAAAACAGAUGAAUAUAGGGGAAGGGAAGAAAAAAUAAGAUGAAAACAGAGAAGGAGGCAAACCAUAAGAGACUCUUAACUAUAGGAAACAAAGGGUUGAUGGGGGGGAAGGGGUUGAGGAUGGGGCAACUGGGCACUAAGGAGGGCACAUGAUGGAAUGAGCACUGGGUGUUAUGUGCAACUGAUGAAUCACUAAAUUCUACCUCUGAAACUGAUGAUACACUAUACGUUAAUUAAAUUGAAUUUAAAUUUAAAAAAUAGUUGGAGAUGAUAGAUAAAUAUCAUUGCUUGUAAAUACAUAAAUUCUCUGAAAGAAUAAAUAAGAAAUUGAUAACUUUAUUUGCCUCUGGGAAGGAAAACUAAGGGUCUGGGGAACAAGAGUGGGAAAGAGACUUUUCAAUGUACAGUCUUUUGUGUCUUUUGAACUUUGAACAAUGUGAUGUGUAAAUGAUUUUUUUAAUUAAUUAUUAAAAUUAAAAUUUUUAAGCUUAGCAAACAAAAACAUGA